UGCAGGCUGCAACUCGCCUGCAUGAAGUCGGAAUUGCUAGUAAUCGCAGAUCAGCAUGCUGUGGUGAAUACCGUUCCCGGGCCUUGUACACACCGCCCGUCACACCAUGGGAGUCGGUAACACCCAAAGUUGGUAGUCUAACCGCAAGGAGGACGCCGCCUAAGGUGGGAUUGAUGACUGGGGUGAAGUCGUAACAAGGUACC
Molecule: ribosomal RNA, 203 nt
Filed under: uncultured bacterium
Lineage: Bacteria
Description: partial 16S ribosomal RNA
Rfam family: Bacterial small subunit ribosomal RNA
Source: RNAcentral